Molecule: ribosomal RNA, 497 nt
Filed under: uncultured bacterium
Lineage: Bacteria
Description: partial 16S ribosomal RNA
Rfam family: Bacterial small subunit ribosomal RNA
Source: RNAcentral
GAUGAACGCUGGCGGCGUGCCUAAUACAUGCAAGUCGAGCGAACAGACGAGGAGCUUGCUCCUCUGACGUUAGCGGCGGACGGGUGAGUAACACGUGGAUAACCUACCUAUAAGGCUGGGAUAACUUCGGGAAACCGGAGCUAAUACCGGAUAAUAUAUUGAACCGCAUGGUUCAAUAGUGAAAGACGGUUUUGCUGUCACUUAUAGAUGGAUCCGCGCCGCAUUAGCUAGUUGGUAAGGUAACGGCUUACCAAGGCAACGAUGCGUAGCCGACCUGAGAGGGUGAUCGGCCACACUGGAACUGAGACACGGUCCAGACUCCUACGGGAGGCAGCAGUAGGGAAUCUUCCGCAAUGGGCGAAAGCCUGACGGAGCAACGCCGCGUGAGUGAUGAAGGUCUUCGGAUCGUAAAACUCUGUUAUUAGGGAAGAACAAAUGUGUAAGCAACUAUGCACGUCUUGACGGUACCUAAUCAGAAAGCCACGGCUAACUACGUG